Molecule: long non-coding RNA, 388 nt
Organism: Rosa chinensis
Lineage: Eukaryota; Viridiplantae; Streptophyta; Magnoliopsida; Rosales; Rosaceae
Exons: 3
Source: RefSeq, a predicted model, not a curated record
CAAGGUAUCACAAUCAUUGUUUUUCCAGUUGCUAUUGUUGCGUUGUUUUAGUCAGCAUUCACAUUUUCUAGUGUGAUGCAUAAAGGUAAACAUCAUCCAGCAAAGCAAUUGAUAAACGUGUUAUAAAACUUGUAUUCAGUGUUGACGCAUUAAAUCUACACAACGAGGAUUUUUCUGAAUCCAUAGAGUAGAGUCAAUUGUGCAUGAGAAUAUAAUAGUUAAGUUCAAUGUUUUUGCAAUGUAGGAAACGUAGUUUGAAGCCGCUGCAUCAAAAGUUUAUGAGUCAUAUUUGAAGAGGGUUAAAGUUUCUUCACUUCCUGUGGUACCCUACGAUGAUGCAGAUAAAUUUUAUCAGAGUGAGCUUGAAGAUUAUCCGAGGACAUAAUGC